This 253-nucleotide ribosomal RNA is filed under the name uncultured bacterium. RNAcentral describes it as "partial 16S ribosomal RNA". It matches the Rfam family "Bacterial small subunit ribosomal RNA", at positions 524 to 776 of the family's 1533-position model. The record is from RNAcentral.
UACGUAGGGGGCUAGCGUUGUCCGGAUUUAUUGGGCGUAAAGCGCGUGUAGGCGGCCAGAUAGGUCUGCUGUGAAAACUCGAGGCUCAACCUCGAGCUGUCGGCGGAAACCAUCUGGCUAGAGUCCGGAAGAGGAGAGUGGAAUUCCCGGUGUAGCGGUGGAAUGCGUAGAGAUCCGGAAGAACACCGGUGGCGAAGGCGGCCUGCUGGGCAGUAGCUGACACUGAGGCGCGACAGCGUGGGGAGCAAACAGG